GACGAACGCUGGCGGCGUGCUUAACACAUGCAAGUCGAACGGGUCUGCCCUGUUUUUUGCGGGGUGGGUCAGUGGCGAACGGGUGAGUAACACGUGAGUAACCUGCCCCUCACUUCUGGUUAACCGCUUGAAAGGGUGGCUAAUACGGGGUGUUCUGGCUGUGCCGCAUGGUGUGGCUGGGAAAGAUUCACUUUUGUGGUGUUUUGGUGGGGGAUGGGCUCGCGGCCUGUCAGCUUGUUGGUGGGGUGAUGGCCUGCCAAGGCUUUGACGGGUAGCCGGCCUGAGAGGGUGGGCGGUCACACUGGGACUGAGAUACGGCCCAGACUCCUGCGGGAGGCAGCAGUGGGGGGUAUUGCACAAUGGGCGGAAGCCUGAUGCAGCGACGUCGCGUGAGGGAUGGAGGCCUUCGGGUUGUGAACCUCUUUCGCCGGUGAAGAAGGUCCUGCUCUUUGUGGUGGGGUUGACGGUAGCCGGGUUAUGAAGCGCCGGCUAACUACGUG
RNAcentral lists this ribosomal RNA (500 nucleotides) under uncultured bacterium. Its description in RNAcentral is "partial 16S ribosomal RNA". It matches the Rfam family "Bacterial small subunit ribosomal RNA", at positions 28 to 507 of the family's 1533-position model. The record is from RNAcentral.